Molecule: ribosomal RNA, 906 nt
Filed under: uncultured bacterium
Lineage: Bacteria
Description: bacterial SSU rRNA
Rfam family: Bacterial small subunit ribosomal RNA
Source: RNAcentral
GGCUAACUCAGUGCCAGCAGCCGCGGUAAUACGGAGGAUGCGAGCGUUAUCCGGAUUUAUUGGGUUUAAAGGGUGCGUAGGCGGGCUGUUAAGUCAGCGGUCAAAUGUCGGGGCUCAACCCCGGCCUGCCGUUGAAACUGGCGGCCUCGAGUGGGCGAGAAGUAUGCGGAAUGCGUGGUGUAGCGGUGAAAUGCAUAGAUAUCACGCAGAACUCCGAUUGCGAAGGCAGCAUACCGGCGCCCGACUGACGCUGAGGCACGAAAGCGUGGGUAUCGAACAGGAUUAGAUACCCUGGUAGUCCACGCAGUAAACGAUGAAUACUAGCUGUCCGGGGCGAAUGAGCCCUGGGUGGCACAGCGAAAGCGUUAAGUAUUCCACCUGGGGAGUACGCCGGCAACGGUGAAACUCAAAGGAAUUGACGGGGGCCCGCACAAGCGGAGGAACAUGUGGUUUAAUUCGAUGAUACGCGAGGAACCUUACCCGGGCUCAAACGACACAGGAACGUACCUGAAAGGGUUCGGCUCUACGGAGCCUGUGUCGAGGUGCUGCAUGGUUGUCGUCAGCUCGUGCCGUGAGGUGUCGGCUUAAGUGCCAUAACGAGCGCAACCCCCAUCGACAGUUGCUAACAGGUCAGGCUGAGGACUCUGUCGAGACUGCCGGCGCAGGCUGCGAGGAAGGCGGGGAUGACGUCAAAUCAGCACGGCCCUUACGUCCGGGGCGACACACGUGUUACAAUGGCAGGUACAGCGGGAAGCCACCUGGCGACAGGGAGCGGAACCCGAAAGCCUGUCUCAGUUCGGAUUGGAGUCUGCAACCCGACUCCAUGAAGCUGGAUUCGCUAGUAAUCGCGCAUCAGCCACGGCGCGGUGAAUACGUUCCCGGGCCUUGCACACACCGCCCGUCAAG